GUGCAACCUGCCUUUAUCUGGGGGAUAGCCUUUCGAAAGGGAGAUUAAUACCCCAUAAUAUAUUUAUCGGCAUCGAUGGAUAUUGAAAACUCCGGUGGAUAGAGAUGGGCACGCGCAAGAUUAGAUAGUUGGUGAGGUAACGGCUCACCAAGUCUACGAUCUUUAGGGGGCCUGAGAGGGUGAUCCCCCACACUGGUACUGAGACACGGACCAGACUCCUACGGGAGGCAGCAGUGAGGAAUAUUGGACAAUGGGUGAGAGCCUGAUCCAGCCAUCCCGCGUGAAGGACGACGGCCCUAUGGGUUGUAAACUUCUUUUGUAUAGGGAUAAACCUACUCUCGUGAGAGUAGCUUGAAGGUNCUAUACNAAUAAGCACCGGCUAACUUCCGUGCCAGCAGCCCGCGGUAAUACGGANGGUGCAAGCGUUAUCCGGAUUUAUUGGGUUUAAAGGGUCCGUAGGCGGAUCUUUAAG
RNAcentral lists this ribosomal RNA (472 nucleotides) under Chryseobacterium sp. I19. RNAcentral describes it as "bacterial SSU rRNA". It matches the Rfam family "Bacterial small subunit ribosomal RNA", at positions 119 to 587 of the family's 1533-position model. Lineage: Bacteria; Pseudomonadati; Bacteroidota; Flavobacteriia; Flavobacteriales; Weeksellaceae. The record is from RNAcentral.